CCCCGUACACAAAAAUGCACAUGCUGUGAGCUCGAUGAGUAGGGCGGGACACGUGGUAUCCUGUCUGAAUAUGGGGGGACCAUCCUCCAAGGCUAAAUACUCCUGACUGACCGAUAGUGAACCAGUACCGUGAGGGAAAGGCGAAAAGAACCCCGGCGAGGGGAGUGAAAAAGAACCUGAAACCGUGUACGUACAAGCAGUGGGAGCACGCUUAGGCGUGUGACUGCGUACCUUUUGUAUAAUGGGUCAGCGACUUAUAUUCUGUAGCAAGGUUAACCGAAUAGGGGAGCCGAAGGGAAACCGAGUCUUAACUGGGCGUUAAGUUGCAGGGUAUAGACCCGAAACCCGGUGAUCUAGCCAUGGGCAGGUUGAAGGUUGGGUAACACUAACUGGAGGACCGAACCGACUAAUGUUGAAAAAUUAGCGGAUGACUUGUGGCUGGGGGUGAAAGGCCAAUCAAACCGGGAGAUAGCUGGUUCUCCCCGAAAGCUAUUUAGGUAGCGCCUCGUGAAUUCAUCUCCGGGGGUAGAGCACUGUUUCGGCAAGGGGGUCAUCCCGACUUACCAACCCGAUGCAAACUGCGAAUACCGGAGAAUGUUAUCACGGGAGACACACGGCGGGUGCUAACGUCCGUCGUGAAGAGGGAAACAACCCAGACCGCCAGCUAAGGUCCCAAAGUCAUGGUUAAGUGGGAAACGAUGUGGGAAGGCCCAGACAGCCAGGAUGUUGGCUUAGAAGCAGCCAUCAUUUAAAGAAAGCGUAAUAGCUCACUGGUCGAGUCGGCCUGCGCGGAAGAUGUAACGGGGCUAAACCAUGCACCGAAGCUGCGGCAGCGACGCUGAUGCGUUGUUGGGUAGGGGAGCGUUCUGUAAGCCUGCGAAGGUGUGCUGUGAGGCAUGCUGGAGGUAUCAGAAGUGCGAAUGCUGACAUAAGUAACGAUAAAGCGGGUGAAAAGCCCGCUCGCCGGAAGACCAAGGGUUCCUGUCCAACGUUAAUCGGGGCAGGGUGAGUCGACCCCUAAGGCGAGGCCGAAAGGCGUAGUCGAUGGGAAACAGGUUAAUAUUCCUGUACUUGGUGUUACUGCGAAGGGGGGACGGAGAAGGCUAUGUUGGCCGGGCGACGGUUGUCCCGGUUUAAGCGUGUAGGCUGGUUUUCCAGGCAAAUCCGGAAAAUCAAGGCUGAGGCGUGAUGACGAGGCACUACGGUGCUGAAGCAACAAAUGCCCUGCUUCCAGGAAAAGCCUCUAAGCAUCAGGUAACAUCAAAUCGUACCCCAAACCGACACAGGUGGUCAGGUAGAGAAUACCAAGGCGCUUGAGAGAACUCGGGUGAAGGAACUAGGCAAAAUGGUGCCGUAACUUCGGGAGAAGG
Molecule: ribosomal RNA, 1370 nt
Filed under: Escherichia coli
Lineage: Bacteria; Pseudomonadati; Pseudomonadota; Gammaproteobacteria; Enterobacterales; Enterobacteriaceae
Description: partial 23S ribosomal RNA
Rfam family: Bacterial large subunit ribosomal RNA
Source: RNAcentral